This 527-nucleotide unclassified non-coding RNA is filed under the name Hevea brasiliensis (rubber tree). The record is from RNAcentral. Lineage: Eukaryota; Viridiplantae; Streptophyta; Magnoliopsida; Malpighiales; Euphorbiaceae.
UUUUUCUUUUUUUUUUUUUUUUCAAUUUUUAUAUAAAAAACAACAGGGAGGGAUGAUCUGAAUCUGUUAAGUUAUGUCUUGCAAUCUCUAACUUUUUCAUGCAUUAGGGAAAAAAAAAAGAAGUUUAAAGCAUAAAUACAAGUUCUUUUGUUACACAGAAAUUACCAUAAAUACAGGUUUUGAUUUGCAUUGCGCAGACAUGGCUAAAAAAAAUUCUAGUCCAAGGAGCACAACAUCCAAGUAAGCACAGAUAUGCAUUUUAGCAGAUAAUGCAUGAAAUGCUGUAGUGCUUUGGUUUAAUAGCAUAAAUGCUAUUUACCAUCAACUAAAAGCAGAAACUGGGAUUAGAAUGCUCUAGUUGUAUUGUUGUUAAGUUCCUAGCUCAGUUCAGUUUCAUUUUGCUGCUCUCUGAAGUUCUAAACACAGUACAAGGAAAGCUUUAACACAUAAAAAUCCCAAUCAACAAUGACAAACAAAACAGGGUUCUUAAUUUACAGACCAAGCAAGACAACUGGUAUCCUGUAAUC